RNAcentral lists this ribosomal RNA (483 nucleotides) under uncultured bacterium. Its description in RNAcentral is "partial 16S ribosomal RNA". It matches the Rfam family "Bacterial small subunit ribosomal RNA", at positions 30 to 506 of the family's 1533-position model. The record is from RNAcentral.
AUUGAACGCUGGCGGCAGGCCUAACACAUGCAAGUCGAGCGGAUGAAGGGAGCUUGCUCCUGGAUUCAGCGGCGGACGGGUGAGUAAUGCCUAGGAAUCUGCCUGGUAGUGGGGGAUAACGUCCGGAAACGGGCGCUAAUACCGCAUACGUCCUGCGGGAGAAAGUGGGGGAUCUUCGGACCUCACGCUAUCAGAUGAGCCUAGGUCGGAUUAGCUAGUUGGUGGGGUAAAGGCCUACCAAGGCGACGAUCCGUAACUGGUCUGAGUGGAUGAUCAGUCACACUGGAGCUGAGACACGGUCCAGACUCCGACGGGAGGCAGCGGUGGGGAAGAUUGGAAGAAGGGCGAAAGCCUGAUCCAGCCAUGCCGCGUGUGUGAAGAAGGUCUUCGGAUUGUAAAGCACUUUAAGUUGGGAGGAAGGGCAGUAAGUUAAUACCUGGCUGUUUUGACGUUACCAACAGAAUAAGCACCGGCUAACUUCGU